Molecule: non-coding RNA, 213 nt
Filed under: Lachnoclostridium sp.
Lineage: Bacteria; Bacillati; Bacillota; Clostridia; Lachnospirales; Lachnospiraceae
Source: RNAcentral
GGAUCGAGUACUGAUGCCAGAUCCGGCAUACAUUUAAAAGACAAGAGGAAGUCAGGUGAGAGUCCUGCACAAUACCCGUUGCUGUAUUGGAGGAGCAGUGUUCCACCUCUGUGCGAACCGCACGGAAGCCACUGCGGGGCAAGUCCCUGUGGGAAGGCGGAGCACCUGCGUUGAUUCCUGAGUCAGAAUAUUCACUUUUAAAUGGAUCUGGUG